UCAUUGAUCUUGGUGUCUCAAAUUGAA
RNAcentral lists this non-coding RNA (27 nucleotides) under Mus musculus (house mouse). Lineage: Eukaryota; Metazoa; Chordata; Mammalia; Rodentia; Muridae. The record is from RNAcentral.